ACGGGUGAGUAACGCGUGGGAACGUGCCUUCUGGUUCGGAAUAACUCAGGGAAACUUGAGCUAAUACCGGAUACGCCCUUUUUGGGGAAAGGUUUACUGCGGGAAGAUCGGCCCGCGUCUGAUUAGCUAGUUGGUGGGGUAACGGCCUACCAAGGCGACGAUCAGUAGCUGGUCUGAGAGGAUGAUCAGCCACACUGGGACUGAGGCACGGCCCAGACUCCUACGGGAGGCAGCAGUGGGGAAUAUUGGACAAUGGGCGCAAGCCUGAUCCAGCCAUGCCGCGUGAGUGAUGAAGGCCUUAGGGUUGUAAAGCUCUUUUAUCCGGGACGAUAAUGACGGUACCGGAGGAAUAAGCCCCGGCUAACUUCGUGCCAGCAGCCGCGGUAAUACGAAGGGGGCUAGCGUUGCUCGGAAUCACUGGGCGUAAAGGGCGCGUAGGCGGUCUUUUAAGUCGGGGGUGAAAGCCUGUGGCUCAACCACAGAAUUGCCUUCGAUACUGGGAGACUUGAGUUCGGAAGAGGUUGGUGGAACUGCGAGUGUAGAGGUGAAAUUCGUAGA
This 558-nucleotide ribosomal RNA is filed under the name uncultured bacterium. RNAcentral's name for it is "bacterial SSU rRNA". It matches the Rfam family "Bacterial small subunit ribosomal RNA", at positions 102 to 694 of the family's 1533-position model. The record is from RNAcentral.